ACCUUAUAUAUAAUAUUUUUUUUUAAAUAUUAUUAUGUAAGAUUAACAUAAUUCAUAUUUUUUAAGACUGAAUUUUUAGUUUUGAUAAUAUGAAAUUUUACUUUGAGAAAAUUAGAGUGCUUAAAGCAGGCUUUUGCCUUGAAUACUCCAGCAUGGAAUAAUAAUAAAAGAUUUUUAUCUUUUUUUUAUUGGUUCUAAGAUAAAAAUAAUGAUUAAUAGGGACAGUUGGGGGCAUUUGUAUUUAACAGUCAGAGGUGAUAUUCUUAGAUUUGUUAAAGACAAACUAAUGCGAAAGCAUUUGCCAAGGAUGUUUUCAUUAAUCAAGAACGAAAGUUAGGGGAUCGAAGACGAUCAGAUACCGUCGUAGUCUUAACC
This 375-nucleotide ribosomal RNA is filed under the name Cryptosporidium felis. RNAcentral describes it as "partial small subunit ribosomal RNA". It matches the Rfam family "Eukaryotic small subunit ribosomal RNA", at positions 655 to 1031 of the family's 1831-position model. Lineage: Eukaryota; Apicomplexa; Conoidasida; Eucoccidiorida; Cryptosporidiidae. The record is from RNAcentral.